UACGUAGGGUGCAAGCGUUAAUCGGAAUUACUGGGCGUAAAGCGUGCGCAGGCGGUUUUGUAAGUCUGAUGUGAAAUCCCCGGGCUCAACCUGGGAAUUGCAUUGGAGACUGCAAGGCUAGAAUCUGGCAGAGGGGGGUAGAAUUCCACGUGUAGCAGUGAAAUGCGUAGAGAUGUGGAGGAACAUCGAUGGCGAAGGCAGCCCCCUGGGUCAAGAUUGACGCUCAUGCACGAAAGCGUGGGGAGCAAACAGG
RNAcentral lists this ribosomal RNA (253 nucleotides) under uncultured bacterium. Its description in RNAcentral is "partial 16S ribosomal RNA". It matches the Rfam family "Bacterial small subunit ribosomal RNA", at positions 524 to 776 of the family's 1533-position model. The record is from RNAcentral.